This 91-nucleotide transfer RNA is filed under the name Myxococcales bacterium. Its description in RNAcentral is "tRNA-Ser". It matches the Rfam family "tRNA". From Rfam's summary of the family: Transfer RNA (tRNA) molecules are approximately 80 nucleotides in length. Their secondary structure includes four short double-helical elements and three loops (D, anti-codon, and T loops). Further hydrogen bonds mediate the characteristic L-shaped molecular structure. tRNAs have two regions of fundamental functional importance: the anti-codon, which is responsible for specific mRNA codon recognition, and the 3' end, to which the tRNAs corresponding amino acid is attached (by aminoacyl-tRNA synthetases). tRNAs cope with the degeneracy of the genetic code in two manners: having more than one tRNA (with a specific anti-codon) for a particular amino acid; and 'wobble' base-pairing, i.e. permitting non-standard base-pairing at the 3rd anti-codon position. The record is from RNAcentral. Lineage: Bacteria; Pseudomonadati; Myxococcota; Myxococcia; Myxococcales.
GGAGAGCUGACCGAGUGGCCGAAGGUGCACGACUGGAAAUCGUGUGUAGCGACACAAAUCGCUACCGAGGGUUCGAAUCCCUCGCUCUCCG